GACGAACGCUGGCGGCGUGCUUAACACAUGCAAGUCGAACGGAAAGGCCCUGCUUUUGUGGGGUGCCCGAGUGGCGAACGGGUGAGUAACACGUGAGUAACCUGCCCUUGACUUUGGGAUAACUUCAGGAAACUGGGGCUAAUACCGGAUAGUAGCUCCUGCUGCAUGGUGGGGGUUGGAAAGUUUCGGCGGUUGGGGAUGGACUCGCGGCUUAUCAGCUUGUUGGUGGGGUAGUGGCUUACCAAGGCUUUGACGGGUAGCCGGCCUGAGAGGGUGACCGGCCACAUUGGGACUGAGAUACGGCCCAGACUCCUACGGGAGGCAGCAGUGGGGAAUAUUGCACAAUGGGCGGAAGCCUGAUGCAGCAACGCCGCGUGCGGGAUGACGGCCUUCGGGUUGUAAACCGCUUUCGCCUGUGACGAAGCGUGAGUGACGGUAAUGGGUAAAGAAGCACCGGCUAACUACGUG
This 468-nucleotide ribosomal RNA is filed under the name uncultured bacterium. Its description in RNAcentral is "partial 16S ribosomal RNA". It matches the Rfam family "Bacterial small subunit ribosomal RNA", at positions 28 to 507 of the family's 1533-position model. The record is from RNAcentral.